This 568-nucleotide long non-coding RNA is filed under the name Ananas comosus (pineapple). RNAcentral's name for it is "long non-coding RNA (ACOM_LNC028729)". Lineage: Eukaryota; Viridiplantae; Streptophyta; Magnoliopsida; Poales; Bromeliaceae. The record is from RNAcentral.
UAGAGUUUGAAAAAUAUUAUAAAAUAUUUUUGUAAAUGAUACAAUAAUUUUCUAGCUAUGUGUUUGUGAUACAUUUUGUAGAGUAGAAGCGUCCGUAAUAUAUACAUAGUUAUGUGAUGAUUUUGAGAAAACAAAUCCAGCUUCAAAAUAAGCUGAAUAUAAACACUCGAACAAAUCCAUCUACAUCUUUCCUACAACUAGAAAGAUUCACAAUCAAUUAUACAAAAAUUUUAAAAAAAUUACAACAAUAAAAAACAAAAAUGAAGUCCUUAAUUACAUCAAAUCCAUCCAUCCGCAACAAUAAAAGUAUAGAAAAUAUAACACACGUCCUUAAUUUUAAACACUUGAAAAAAUAAAAUUUAUUUCAUUGUAAGAAAAUAUUAUUAUUAUUUUUUUUGAGAGAUAGAUAGCACGCUACCCGCUUCGUUUAUUUCAUUUAGAAAUAAACUUAACUAAAAAUAUGAAUCAACUAGGAUUAGAACUUGGGACCUCGGGUACCAUCCACCGAACCUUUUGUCACUUGGUGUAGGGAUGGUCAGUUGUAAAAAAUUAUUAUUAAGUAAGAUAA